This 368-nucleotide transfer-messenger RNA is filed under the name Candidatus Nomurabacteria bacterium. It matches the Rfam family "transfer-messenger RNA". From Rfam's summary of the family: Bacterial tmRNA, also known as 10Sa RNA or SsrA, is named for its dual tRNA and mRNA-like properties. Its role is to liberate the mRNA from a stalled ribosome. Lineage: Bacteria; Candidatus Nomuraibacteriota. The record is from RNAcentral. RNAcentral also lists the same sequence under 1 other name.
GGGGAUGCUAGGCAUCGACAAUAGAAUACCUUUAUAUUAUGCAUGUCGAGAUUCACGAGUUCUCGAAAAAAUCGUGAAAAAAUAAAUGCAGAAAAAACUGCUGUAAAGUCUCCUUUCAUGGGACUUGCAUUCGCUAGAGUUUAACUCGCGAACACUCUAAUACUGGACUUCCGAUAAAGUAGUAGAGUGUAAUUUCAUCGGGAUAGAAUACUUAGCGCUCACUAAGUAUUCGAAACUAAAGAGAUCGACCUGCUAUUCGUUUUGCUGUUUUUUUAGGUUGUAGGUCUAAAUAAAACAAAAUAGACAAGCAUGUAGAAGUAAUAUAGAGACUCUUUUGCACGGGGGUUCGAUUCCCCCCAUCUCCACAA